UAAUACGGAGGGUGCGAGCGUUGUCCGGAAUCAUUGGGCGUAAAGGGCGCGUAGGUGGCCCAGUCAGCGUGCGGUGAAAGCUCGGGGCUCAACCUCGGGUCGGCCGUGCGAACUACUGGGCUGGAGCACUGUAGAGGCAGGCGGAAUUCCGGGUGUAGCGGUGGAAUGCGUAGAGAUCCGGAAGAACACCGGUGGCGAAGGCGGCCUGCUGGGCAGUUGCUGACACUGAGGCGCGACAGC
RNAcentral lists this ribosomal RNA (240 nucleotides) under uncultured bacterium. RNAcentral describes it as "partial 16S ribosomal RNA". It matches the Rfam family "Bacterial small subunit ribosomal RNA", at positions 521 to 760 of the family's 1533-position model. The record is from RNAcentral.